GCGCUGCAUUAGCUAGUUGGUAAGGUAACGGCUUACCAAGGCAACGAUGCAUAGCCGACCUGAGAGGGUGAUCGGCCACACUGGAACUGAGACACGGUCCAGACUCCUACGGGAGGCAGCAGUAGGGAAUCUUCCGCAAUGGGCGAAAGCCUGACGGAGCAACGCCGCGUGAGUGAUGAAGGUCUUCGGAUCGUAAAACUCUGUUAUUAGGGAAGAACAUAUGUGUAAGUAACUGUGCACAUCUUGACGGUACCUAAUCAGAAAGCCACGGCUAACUACGUGCCAGCAGCCGCGGUAAUACGUAGGUGGCAAGCGUUAUCCGGAAUUAUUGGGCGUAAAGCGCGCGUAGGCGGUUUUUUAAGUCUGAUGUGAAAGCCCACGGCUCAACCGUGGAGGGUCAUUGGAAACUGGAAAACUUGAGUGCAGAAGAGGAAAGUGGAAUUCCAUGUGUAGCGGUGAAAUGCGCAGAGAUAUGGAGGAACACCAGUGGCGAAGGCGACUUUCUGGUCUGUAACUGACGCUGAUGUGCGAAAGCGUGGGGAUCAAACAGGAUUAGAUACCCUGGUAGUCCACGCCGUAAACGAUGAGUGCUAAGUGUUAGGGGGUUUCCGCCCCUUAGUGCUGCAGCUAACGCAUUAAGCACUCCGCCUGGGGAGUACG
RNAcentral lists this ribosomal RNA (660 nucleotides) under Staphylococcus aureus. RNAcentral's name for it is "bacterial SSU rRNA". It matches the Rfam family "Bacterial small subunit ribosomal RNA", at positions 233 to 884 of the family's 1533-position model. Lineage: Bacteria; Bacillati; Bacillota; Bacilli; Caryophanales; Staphylococcaceae. The record is from RNAcentral.